This 440-nucleotide ribosomal RNA is filed under the name uncultured bacterium. RNAcentral's name for it is "bacterial SSU rRNA". It matches the Rfam family "Bacterial small subunit ribosomal RNA", at positions 338 to 795 of the family's 1533-position model. The record is from RNAcentral.
CCUACGGGCCGCACCAGUGGGGAAUAUUGGACAAUGGGCGCAAGCCUGAUCCAGCCAUGCCGCGUGAGUGAAGAAGGCCUUAGGGUUGUAAAGCUCUUUCACCGGUGAAGAUAAAGACGGUAACCGGAGAAGAAGCCCCGGCUAACUUCGUGCCAGCAGCCGCGGUAAUACGAAGGGGGCUAGCGUUGUUCGGAAUUACUGGGCGUAAAGCGCGCGUAGGCGGAUAGAUAAGUCAGAGGUGAAAUCCCGGGGCUCAACCCCGGAAUUGCCUUUGAUACUGUUUAUCUUGAGUGCAGAAGAGGUAAGUGGAAUUCCGAGUGUAGAGGUGAAAUUCGUAGAUAUUCGGAGGAACACCAGUGGCGAAGGCGGCUUACUGGUCUGCGACUGACGCUGAGGCGCGAAAGCGUGGGGAGCAAACAGGAUUAGAUACCCGUGUAGUC